GACGAACGCUGGCGGCGUGCCUAAUACAUGCAAGUCGAACGCUUCUUUCCUCCCGAGUGCUUGCCCUCAAUUGGAAAGAGGAGUGGCGGACGGGUGAGUAACACGUGGGUAACCUACCCAUCAGAGGGGGAUAACACUUGGAAACAGGUGCUAAUACCGCAUAACAGUUUAUGCCGCAUGGCAUAAGAGUGAAGGGCGCUUUCGGGUGUCGCUGAUGGAUGGACCCGCGGUGCAUUAGCUAGUUGGUGAGGUAACGGCUCACCAAGGCCACGAUGCAUAGCCGACCUGAGAGGGUGAUCGGCCACACUGGGACUGAGACACGGCCCAGACUCCUACGGGAGGCAGCAGUAGGGAAUCUUCGGCAAUGGACGAAAGUCUGACCGAGCAACGCCGCGUGAGUGAAGAAGGUUUUCGGAUCGUAAAACUCUGUUGUUAGAGAAGAACAAGGACGUUAGUAACUGAACGUCCCCUGACGGUAUCUAACCAGAAAGCCACGGCUAACUACGUG
RNAcentral lists this ribosomal RNA (508 nucleotides) under uncultured bacterium. RNAcentral describes it as "partial 16S ribosomal RNA". It matches the Rfam family "Bacterial small subunit ribosomal RNA", at positions 28 to 507 of the family's 1533-position model. The record is from RNAcentral.